AAUAGAUUAGACCUAAGGGUAUCACGCGUACAUAGCGUCACCUGUACAUUUAAGUAAUAGGUGCCAUACUUGAACUUUGAUGGUGAAAAUUAAUUUUGAUGUCGUAUCUGUUGUAAACUUGCCCUCUAGUAUUAUAUAUAAUAAAAUCGUGGGAUAUUGAGUUAUAUGGUUAAUUAAAUUGCGUUGCAUAUGUUAUAAGAUAUAUGUUAUGGUAUGUGGUAUGCUAUAUGUAAUUACUAUCCCAUGAAAACUCCUACCUAGUUAGUCUGACUUUAUCAUGAUUUUUGGUGAUUAAACUAUUUGUUCCUUUCUAUGAUGUUCUACCCUACUGAUCAUAUUAUGUAUAUUUGUAAUGGCUUUUAUGUAAAUCUCCUAAUUAUAUACCCUCUAGAAACUAUAAAAUCAUAUAUGUAAUAGUACCUGUAACAUUGCAACUUAUAAAAUCUCUUCGGUCGGAAUACCUCCAACUGCCCUCGCUACUUCCAAGGUUACCUUUAUCUCUUCCCUACCUCAAAUUUUAGUACCCAGUCGCUUUAAAUGUACUUGAUGACCUCACUGCACUGAUGCCUGAAAAAUGCACCCAAUAUUCUGGGAAGUGAUUGACAUUAGGAAGGGCAUCCAGCUAUAGAAAUCAUGCCAAAGCAGACAUUUUAGCCUGGUGCAACCCUCUGGCUCAUCAGUUUGUGUCAAACUGUCCAACCCAUUCCAGCAUAGAAAAAGAAACAUUAAGUGAAGCCAAGACUUGAAAUCAAACAGCUAAGAAACAUUACAAAUACAAAAGUCAUUAUUUAAAAUUCUUCCCUGUCCACAGAACACCAGGAGCAGUGUACUCAUUAAUCACAGGUGAAAUUUCACUUACAUUCAAAAUUGAAAACUAUAUGUUGAUGAAAACCCUAAAAUGCAUAUGUAACAAAAAAGAAAUGACCAAAACAGUAAUUUAAUAAAAUUUACAUAUCUAGGGACUUUUUAAAAUUAAGGAUCCAUUAUUUAGCAUAUUUGCCAUGUUGCCACAUAUAUAUAUAAGUUGCCUGGGGACCCUGUGCACCUACGGGCAA
This is a long non-coding RNA of Octopus sinensis (East Asian common octopus), 1055 nucleotides long. RefSeq lists it as uncharacterized. The record is from RefSeq and is a predicted model, not a curated record. The transcript is spliced from 3 exons. NCBI's taxonomy places the organism in Eukaryota, Metazoa, Mollusca, Cephalopoda, Octopoda, Octopodidae.